This 401-nucleotide ribosomal RNA is filed under the name Sulfitobacter sp. ADRIF9. Its description in RNAcentral is "bacterial SSU rRNA". It matches the Rfam family "Bacterial small subunit ribosomal RNA", at positions 35 to 481 of the family's 1533-position model. Lineage: Bacteria; Pseudomonadati; Pseudomonadota; Alphaproteobacteria; Rhodobacterales; Roseobacteraceae. The record is from RNAcentral.
GCUGGCGGCAGGCCUAACACAUGCAAGUUCGAGCGAGACCUUCGGGUCUAGCGGCGGACGGGUUAGUAACGCGUGGGAACGUGCCCUUCUCUGCGGAAUAGCCACUGGAAACGGUGAGUAAUACCGCAUACGCCCUUCGGGGGAAAGAUUUAUCGGAGAAGGAUCGGCCCGCGUUAGAUUAGAUAGUUGGUGGGGUAACGGCCUACCAAGUCUACGAUCUAUAGCUGGUUUUAGAGGAUGAUCAGCAACACUGGGACUGAGACACGGCCCAGACUCCUACGGGAGGCAGCAGUGGGGAAUCUUAGACAAUGGGCGCAAGCCUGAUCUAGCCAUGCCGCGUGUGUGAUGAAGGUCUUAGGAUCGUAAAGCACUUUCGCCAGGGAUGAUAAUGACAGUACCUG